CCUGGCGGCCGUAGCGCGGGCGCGACCCUAGGGGAAUGGCUCAGAAGUGAAACGCCGUAGCGCCGAUGGUAGUGUGGGGUCUCCCCAUGUGAGAGUAGGGAACCGCCAGGU
This 111-nucleotide ribosomal RNA is filed under the name Morganella morganii subsp. morganii KT. Lineage: Bacteria; Pseudomonadati; Pseudomonadota; Gammaproteobacteria; Enterobacterales; Morganellaceae. The record is from RNAcentral.